UGGGCCAAGGAGAGGAAUCUCAGCACCUAC
Molecule: non-coding RNA, 30 nt
Filed under: Mus musculus (house mouse)
Lineage: Eukaryota; Metazoa; Chordata; Mammalia; Rodentia; Muridae
Source: RNAcentral